This 429-nucleotide ribosomal RNA is filed under the name uncultured bacterium. RNAcentral describes it as "bacterial SSU rRNA". It matches the Rfam family "Bacterial small subunit ribosomal RNA", at positions 355 to 772 of the family's 1533-position model. The record is from RNAcentral.
UGGGGAAUUGUUCGCAAUGGGCGCAAGCCUGACGACGCAACGCCGCGUGGAGGAUGAAGAUCUUCGGGUCGUAAGCUCCUGUCGAGCGGGACGAAUGCCUUGCCGGUGAAUAUCCGGCGAGGGUGACGGUACCGCGAAAGGAAGCCCCGGCUAACUCCGUGCCAGCAGCCGCGGUCAUACGGAGGGUGCGAGCGUUGUCCGGAAUCAUUGGGCGUAAAGGGCGCGUAGGUGGCCCGGUCAGUCCGUGGUGAAAGCGCGGGGCUCAACCCUGCGUCGGCCAUGGAUACUGCCGCGGCUCGAGCACUGUAGAGGCAGGCGGAAUUCCGGGUGUAGCGGUGGAAUGCGUAGAGAUCCGGAAGAACACCGGUGGCGAAGGCGGCCUGCUGGGCAGUCUGGCUGACACUGAGGCGCGACAGCGUGGGGAGCAAA